This 386-nucleotide ribosomal RNA is filed under the name Salmonella enterica subsp. enterica serovar Ohio. RNAcentral's name for it is "bacterial LSU rRNA". It matches the Rfam family "Bacterial large subunit ribosomal RNA", at positions 1 to 417 of the family's 2925-position model. The record is from RNAcentral. Lineage: Bacteria; Pseudomonadati; Pseudomonadota; Gammaproteobacteria; Enterobacterales; Enterobacteriaceae.
GGGUUGUGAGGUUAAGCGACUAAGCGUACACGGUGGAUGCCCUGGCAGUCAGAGGCGAUGAAGGACGUGCUAAUCUGCGAUAAGCGCCGGUAAGGUGAUAUGAACCGUUAUAACCGGCGAUUUCCGAAUGGGGAAACCCAGUGUGACUCGUCACACUAUCAUUAACUGAAUCCAUAGGUUAAUGAGGCGAACCGGGGGAACUGAAACAUCUAAGUACCCCGAGGAAAAGAAAUCAACCGAGAUUCCCCCAGUAGCGGCGAGCGAACGGGGAGGAGCCCAGAGCCUGAAUCAGCAUGUGUGUUAGUGGAAGCGUCUGGAAAGGCGCGCGAUACAGGGUGACAGCCCCGUACACAAAAGCGCAUGUGCUGUGAGCUCGAUGAGUAGGG